GAUGAACGCUGGCGGCGUGCCUAAUACAUGCAAGUCGAGCGAACAGAUGAGGAGCUUGCUCCUCUGACGUUAGCGGCGGACGGGUGAGUAACACGUGGAUAACCUACCUAUAAGUCUGGGAUAACUUCGGGAAACCGGAGCUAAUACCGGAUAAUAUAUUGAACCGCAUGGUUUAAUAGUGAAAGACGGUUUUGCUGUCACUUAUAGAUGGAUCCGCGCCGCUUUAGCUAGUUGGUAAGGUAACGGCUUACCAAGGCAAGGAUGCGUAGACGACGUGAGAGGGUGGUCGGCCACACUAGAGCUGAAACGCGGUCCAGACUCCUACGGGAGGCAGCAGUAGGGAAUCUUCCGCAAUGGGCGGAAGCCUGGCGGAGCAACGCCGCGUGGGUGAUAAAGGUCUUCGGAUCGUGAAACUCUGUUAUUAGGGAAGAACAAAUGUGUAAGUAACUAUGCACGUCUUGACGGUACCUAAUCAGAAAGCCACGGCUAACUACGUG
RNAcentral lists this ribosomal RNA (497 nucleotides) under uncultured bacterium. RNAcentral describes it as "partial 16S ribosomal RNA". It matches the Rfam family "Bacterial small subunit ribosomal RNA", at positions 28 to 507 of the family's 1533-position model. The record is from RNAcentral.